This 545-nucleotide ribosomal RNA is filed under the name uncultured bacterium. Its description in RNAcentral is "bacterial LSU rRNA". It matches the Rfam family "Bacterial large subunit ribosomal RNA", at positions 768 to 1320 of the family's 2925-position model. The record is from RNAcentral.
GGAGGACCGAACCGACUCCCGUUGAAAUGGUAGCGGAUGAACUGUGGGUAGCGGAGAAAUUCCAAUCGAACCCGGAGAUAGCUGGUUGUCUCCGAAAUAGCUUUAGGGCUAGCCUUGAAAUAGAUUACCGGAGGUAAAGCACUGAAUUGGCUAGGGGCCGAGAGGUUACUGAACCUUAUCAAACUAAGAAUGCCGGAUAAUCGUUUUUCAGGAGUCAGACAGUGGGAGAUAAGUUUCAUUGUCAAAAGGGAAACAGCCCAGACCCACAGCUAAGGUCCCCAAGUAUAGUUAAGUGGAAAAGGAUGUGGAAUUGCACAGACAACCAGGAUGUUGGCUUAGAAGCAGCCACUCAUUAAAAGAGUGCGUAAUAGCUCACUGGUCGAGUGACUCUGCGCCGAAAAAUUUAACGGGGCUAAACUAUACACCGAAGCUUGGGAUACAUCUAAUGUAUGGUAGGAGAGCGUUCUGUAUGGGGAGAAGUCGUAGCGAAAGCGGCGGUGGACUAUACAGAAGUGAGAAUGCCGGAAUAAGUAGCGAGAAUUAAG